Molecule: long non-coding RNA, 833 nt
Organism: Astatotilapia calliptera (eastern happy)
Lineage: Eukaryota; Metazoa; Chordata; Actinopteri; Cichliformes; Cichlidae
Source: Ensembl
GAAACACUAAGCAUUCAGGAGGGUGCGUAACCAUAACACUGAACUAUGUUCCUGUUCGGCUCUUCCAUGAAGAUGUUACAUUUUUAAUUUUCGUUCUUUCUUCUUAGAUUAAGCUUCUGGAUUCAUCGCCGGUGAUACUGACACAUAGCCAGUGCUCCUGUGUGGCAGGCGCUGUUAUGUGCAAUCACACAGUGGCACUGCUCUUCCAAACAGCACACUACUCACAACUCAGAGUGCCCGUUGUCCCCCCUGUGCAUAGCUGCAUGGAAUCUGAACAGCAAUGGCACAAGCCACGGACAGUGGGUGUGAGGCCAGGACCCAUCAACUCCAUGAUCUUCACUAAGCCAGUACCAAAUAGGAUGGCCCAGACUGGAGUACGGAGUGGCUUCUACAGAGGCAUGGUGGGUCCGUUACCAGAUCCCUGCUUGUUCAGAAUAACGGAGGCAUAUGCAAAAUUUAAUAUUGAGGACAGGCCACUUGUGACCACAAUGAACAUGAGACCUGACAAGCCCCUUGUGGAAAGUGCCUUUGGGCUGGUGCAGGAGGGCAGUGUUCUGUCAUAUCAGCAGCCGGUUUUGACAACCCGGUACAUCACACUACACCGCGAUGCACCACCAACACCGCACUUGCCUCUGGAGGGGUAUGACAUCUUGCCAUCAGAUUGUGUGUUUGUGUGCUCAGAAGAAGAGCUUCUGCAUCUGAAAAGCUUGUCUGUAACUCUGGAAAUGGCUCACAAAAUAGAGGAAGCUACACGUGAGCAAAGCUCUUCGUCUGAGUGGCAUCAGCUCCGCAGGCCCAGAGUGACUGCCUCUAGGUUUCGGGAGGUGUGUCAC